Small nucleolar RNA from Mya arenaria, 74 nucleotides. RefSeq annotates it as small nucleolar RNA SNORD79. The transcript has a single exon. The record is from RefSeq and is a predicted model, not a curated record. Lineage: Eukaryota; Metazoa; Mollusca; Bivalvia; Myida; Myidae.
GUCCAGUCAUGAUGAUUCUACCAAUGGGAAUCUCUCUGAAAAAAUAUAUGGAGAGUCUUGUAUCUGAACUGGUU